This 406-nucleotide ribosomal RNA is filed under the name uncultured bacterium. RNAcentral's name for it is "partial 16S ribosomal RNA". It matches the Rfam family "Bacterial small subunit ribosomal RNA", at positions 29 to 526 of the family's 1533-position model. The record is from RNAcentral.
AGUGAACGCUGGCGGCAGGCCUAACACAUGCAAGUCGAACGAGUGGCGGACGGGUGAGAAAUAUAUGGGAAUCUACGCUGUAGUGGGGGAUAACGUGGGGAAACUUACGCUAAUACCGCAUACGAUUGAAUGAGCCGAUGUGGGAUUAGCUAGUUGGCGGGGUAAAGGCUCACCAAGGCGACGAUCCCUAGCUGGUCUGAGAGGAUGAUCAGCCACACUGGAACUGAGACACGGUCCAGACUCCUACGGGAGGCAGCAGUGGGGAAUAUUGGACAAUGGGCGCAAGCCUGAUGCAGCCAUGCCGCGUGGAUGAAGAAGGCCUUCGGGUUGUAAAGCCCUUUUGGUGGGGAGGCGGUACCCAAAGAAGAAGCACCGGCUAACUUCGUGCCAGCAGCCGCGGUAAUAC